ACCAAAUUCUCUGAUACGCUGUCCAGUGCGCUUGUUGCUUCAUCUAGCAGCAGGAUUGAUGGGUUCUUCAGGAUUGCUCGAGCCAGCGCGAUUCUUUGCUUUUGUCCUCCUGAUAGCUGAGCUCCUCUCUCUCCACACUUAACGAUGAAGUCAUGUGCAUUUGCAGCUUUAGCUGCAUUUAUCACUUGCUCCAUUGAAGCUCCAUCUUUUCCAAACAUUAUGUUCUCUUUUAUUGAAGUUGCAAAUAGAACAGGUUCCUGAUUCACCAAACCCAUUUGAGAUCUCAACCAUUUUAGCUGAAAUCUUUUUAUUUUAUGUCCAUCCAAGAGUAUUUCUCCAUCAGUGGGAUCAUAAAAUCUUUCAAGCAGUGAGAUAACUGUAGACUUGCCAGAUCCACUUCCUCCCACCAGCCCUACUCUCUUCCCUGCUGGAACCUUCAGAUUGAAUCCUUGUAAAACAGGUGUAUCUGGUCUUGAUGGAUAGGUAAAAUAUACAUUUUGAAAUUCAAUCUCUCCUUUCACAUGUGAUAGGGCUUUCUCCUUUUUGUCUUCUCUGUCUGUCUCUGCAACACGAUCAAUCAUUUCAAGGAUACGAGAUGUUGCAGAUGUUGCCUCUGUGAUGGAGGUUAGAUGAGGAAGUGCACUCAAUAUACUCCUGAAAAUGUUGAAUUUACAGCGGAAAAAAAUUAGUUGAAGUUCAACAAUGAAUACACAGGAUAUAAAUGUUGAAGAAAACUCACAGUCCUCCCAUGAGAACAUCGAAACCAGCUAUAAAAAUAUUGCCUCCUUUUUCUCCUUUCUCUGUAAUCAAAUAAGUGCCAACCCAAGCUUGAAAACCCCAACCAGCAUAAAUGAUUCCCAUGCUCCCAAGCAUCAAUCCCUUCACAAAACCGGAUUUUAUACCAAAUUCCAUACUUUUUUGGAGUGCUUGGCUGAAUUUUUCUUGUGUUUGAUUUUCUCCUACAUAUGCAUAUACAGUUCUUAUUGAGGAUACCGCUUGCUCUACAAUCCCACCAGCAACACCAUAAGAUUCGAUCAUCUUCAUUAUCAGGUCCAUCAUAAUUUUGCCAAAGACGAGCCCUGGACCAAUGAACAUGGCUGAGAGUGGGAUCACUGCAAAGGUGAAUCUCCAUGAUACUAUAAAGGCAAAUACAUGGCAGAAGAAAAAUGUUGACAUGUAAGCAAGGCAAUCGGGUAUCUGCACAGAGAAAGAAUGAGGUAUAUCAGCAGGAUGGAAUAUGAUUUCACUGAUUAUUUUGAAUUAUUGAUGGCCAUUGGGGUGUUGUAUGGUUCAUAUUUAGAGUUUAUAUAAGUUGGAAGGAAAUUCAUUACUACCAUGGAUGAACUAUUUUUUUGACUUCUUCAACUUUAACAUACUAGAAAAUCUUGUUAACAUACUGGGUUAUAGUCUAAACCGUGCUGAUAUAUAUCUCUAACUUAGUUCCUGGUAACUAAUAGCGUUUUGAAUAAUAUAAUUAUAAAUUUGUCUUCAUCCGUCAACUUAAGCUUUUGGGACAAUCGGCGAUUUAAUAUGAUAUCAAAGACCAUAAAGCCUAGAUGCGUAUUUGAUCCAAUAAAAAAAUUGUGAUUCAAUUCUGAAUGGUGAACCCAAAAGAAUUACCAUCUUAAGGGGACAUGUUUAGAAUCUCAUAUUGGAAAAAUCAAUAGAUCUCACACUCUUUAUAGGAUAGAUUGCCAAUUUUUUUUAAGAUAGAACCUCAUACUAGUUAAUAUGGUAUCUGAGCCAAGUUUAGGAUCUAGUGUUUAUUGUUUCUAUGCACAAAUGUUUGGCACAUACACUUAAGUGUUGGGAAAGAGUGACUCAGAGCAAACCUUUUCGCAUAAUGCAACUUGGAUUGAACUAGCAUCAGAGGAAAUAAGGGAGACAACCUCAUGAGUUGUGGAACCAGUUUGGGUAUCAAAGAAGCUAACUUCUUGUCUAAGCACGGAUUUCAAAUAUUCCAUUCUCAUCCUAGACGUCUGUCUCUCUGCUGUUCUUGCCCAACACAAUCCCUCUGCAAAUUUAAAAUUGUGUAGCUAAUUGAGAAAAACAUUGACUAUAUAGACUAUUACCCUCUUACCCUAUGGAUAUAUUCCAGCAAAUAUGCUCACCCACAAAGGCCGAAAGUCCAACUCCAAUUGCAACGUAUAGUAGACGCAGUGCGAACUGAAACAUGUUAGAUAGCAAGUUAACCAAUUGCUUUACGUACUCUAGAAUCAACAAUCCAUAUAUCUACCGGCAUGUAGCCUGUAGGCUAUGUGAUAGAAAACAGAAGUUCAUAAUUAAUUGCCAUUUCUAGUACUUCUCAGUUUUUCGUUGCCAGGAAGGCAUCACCAUUGUCUAAGAAGGAAAAAUACGGAUAUAAGACACAGAUACAACAUGACACUAGCACAGCGUCGCACCAUAUUUUAGAAAUCUAGGAUAGGUUACGGCAAGGACAUGCUUAUUAAAAUAUACGUAAUUUUUCUAUCAAAAGAAAAUUCAAACUAAAUUGGUUGAUGGACUUGUAUGCUUAAAAAACUUAGCUUGAUCUAUUUCACACUCAAAAUUUAUUAUUUUUGUCAUACAUUUGUCUUUUUAGUCUACUCAAUAAGUAUUAUAUGCAUGUUUAACACAUUUGUUGUAUAUACGUAUCCAACAAGUGUUAAGAGUGUCCAAGUGUCUGAUACAUGUUUAACAUGAACAUGCUAGCCAAACUAAAGCGUUUGUGCUUCUUGGAUGAUUGUAGAAACCAUUUUCUUUUUCUGCCCUAUUUCGGUUUCCUUAUGAUCAAACAAUAUAUGAUAGCAAGUGUAAGCCAUUUGAUUAGUGGGUUGAACAUUACAUUUAGUGAAUGGACAUUAUGUCUAAUGGAUUAUGGAACAUAUUCUUUGUUUCAUUCUCUCGUUAGUUAUUCUCUAUCUUUCUGAAAAUGCUUAGUCGUUGCUCACUUUGCCUCUGUUCUCUCCAUCUGCCUAUAAUUAUUGGUAUAAAUAUUUUUCAUCAUUGUGAUUAUGAUAAAGUUUCCCAUAAGAAAUGAAACUUUACAAAGAGGUGCAAGCCUUACCGUGUCAACCAUAUCAUUUGUCAAGCCACUGUUUUUAUCUCCAUAAGCAUUGAUCACAUCCUUAAGAAUGUACAUCAUGAGAGGGACCUGUAAUCCAUCACCAAUGCUCCCCAGAGUCCCAAAGAACAUCAACAACUUGUCGAUGCUAUCAGCGUAAUGGAAUAUGCUUUUGCCUGCCAUUUUUCUGCUUCUAUGGUCUAGAAGAGGGAGAGAGAAGAGAAACAGAUUUGGAGAUUAUUCAAGGUAUGUAGUAUUUCUAAGCUAGAUAGAAAAACUGGUAGGCUUAAUCUGUUGCGUGAUCUCUUUCAUUUUUUGAUAUAGCCAAUACCGUGUGAGAUAAGAACGACUUUAUAUUUGAGCCUUAGCCGGCAGACAGUGAUUCCUGAAACGUAAUUUUUUUGGUUGUAUUAUUUGUUUGUCUGCAAGCAAUUUCAAGCCCUUGGGUAGACUGAUUCUUCGUUUUGGUUAUUGGAAAACACAAGUGAAUCAGAAAUGUAUUUACAAAAUUCAGAAAAUGAAAGAUUAUUGAUUUGAGAUU
This is a long non-coding RNA of Cucumis melo (muskmelon), 3584 nucleotides long. RefSeq lists it as uncharacterized. NCBI's taxonomy places the organism in Eukaryota, Viridiplantae, Streptophyta, Magnoliopsida, Cucurbitales, Cucurbitaceae. The record is from RefSeq and is a predicted model, not a curated record. The transcript has 2 exons.